CACGUAGGGGACGAGCGUUGUCCGGAUUCAUUGGGCGUAAAGCGCGCGUAGGCGGCUCGGAAAGUCGGUCGUGAAAUGCCGGGGCUCAACCCCGGGACUGCGUCCGAUACUUCCGGGCUGGAGGUAGGUAGGGGAGAUCGGAAUUCCUGGUGUAGCGGUGAAAUGCGCAGAUAUCAGGAGGAACACCGGUGGCGAAGGCGGCAUCCUGGACCGACACUGACGCUGAGGAGCGAAAGCCAGGGGAGCAAACGGG
This 253-nucleotide ribosomal RNA is filed under the name uncultured bacterium. RNAcentral describes it as "partial 16S ribosomal RNA". It matches the Rfam family "Bacterial small subunit ribosomal RNA", at positions 524 to 776 of the family's 1533-position model. The record is from RNAcentral.